GGAGUGGGACGGAUGGUCGCCGACCUUUGAAAAAGGGUUGGAGGAAAGUCCGGGCUCCACAGGGCAGGACGCCGGGUAAUCCCCGGCGGGGGCAACCCCAGGGAAAGCGCCACAGAAAGCAAACCGCCGCGCUUGUCGGAUCACGUCGUGCUCACGCACGGGGCCGGCAACCGAGGGCAAGGGUGAAAGGGUGCGGUAAGAGCGCACCGCGCGUCCCGGUAACGGGAGCGGCACGGCAAGCCCCGUCCGGAGCAAGACCACAUAGGGGGGCGUUCUAAAGACGGCCCGUCCAGCCCCCGGGUAGGUCGCUACAGAUGUCCGGCAACGGCCAUCGCAGAGGAAUGACCGUCCCCCCGUCUCCCCACGGGACAAGGUUGCGGGGGACAAAACCCGGCUUACAGGCCCACUCCGGUC
RNAcentral lists this RNase P RNA (414 nucleotides) under Magnetococcales bacterium. Its description in RNAcentral is "RNase P RNA component class A". It matches the Rfam family "Bacterial RNase P class A". From Rfam's summary of the family: Ribonuclease P (RNase P) is a ubiquitous endoribonuclease, found in archaea, bacteria and eukarya as well as chloroplasts and mitochondria. Its best characterised activity is the generation of mature 5'-ends of tRNAs by cleaving the 5'-leader elements of precursor-tRNAs. Lineage: Bacteria; Pseudomonadati; Pseudomonadota; Magnetococcia; Magnetococcales. The record is from RNAcentral.